This 70-nucleotide transfer RNA is filed under the name Anguilla anguilla (European eel). RNAcentral describes it as "tRNA-OTHER". Lineage: Eukaryota; Metazoa; Chordata; Actinopteri; Anguilliformes; Anguillidae. The record is from RNAcentral.
ACAAGGGUGGUGCAGUGGGUAGCUCUGUUGCCUCACAGCAAGAUCCUUGGUUUGAAUCCUGGCCGUUCUG